UCUGACUCACGGAUCUUGUCUGAGCUCGUGGAUCUUGUCUGAGCUCGGUCCCCAUCUAUUGAAGCCUGACUAUUAAGCACUGUGAUAGUCAAUAGCCAUUUCUAUUCAAAUCACAGUGGAGGGAUUGACCCAGGCUCCACCGCCAGGUUUGUCAUGGGCUCCACCACUGGAAAUCAUGGUGGAUGCCUCUUCAGUAAAAUGGCCAAAAAAGAAGAACGUGGAAUAUUUAGGAGACAGCAGAACUCUUAGCUCCUUCUCCAGCACCAUGUCUGCCUGCAUGCCACCAUGAUGACAAAGGACUAAACCUCUGAAACAGUUCCAGUUUUCCCCACACUGUGGCAUUGUUCAUCUACUUGGGACCAUACCCUUGAAGACCAUUGAGUCACCCUCCUUCAGAAGCCAUCGACUGUUGAUAGCGCCUUAGUUAGGGGUGGGGGCUAAUAAACCACCUCUACCUCUAUGCUAUUGUGUUGACUGGCUU
Molecule: long non-coding RNA, 481 nt
Organism: Peromyscus maniculatus bairdii (prairie deer mouse)
Lineage: Eukaryota; Metazoa; Chordata; Mammalia; Rodentia; Cricetidae
Source: RefSeq, a predicted model, not a curated record